Small nucleolar RNA from Protopterus annectens (West African lungfish), 214 nucleotides. RefSeq annotates it as small nucleolar RNA U3. Lineage: Eukaryota; Metazoa; Chordata; Ceratodontiformes; Protopteridae. The transcript has a single exon. The record is from RefSeq and is a predicted model, not a curated record.
AAGACUAUACUUUCAGGGAUCAUUUCUAUAGUUUGUGACUAGAGAGAUGCUUUCUAAAGUGAUCGGUCUUGCCAACCACAGGGACGAUUUGUAAUGUCUUCUCCUGAGCAUGAAAAAUGUAAUUGAACUCAUUUAUGUGUUCUUUUACUGUUGAUGAUUGCUUAUGUUUAGCUGUUAUAGCUUGGCAUGAGGGAGAAGGCAUAAUCCGAGUGGU